AUACGGAGGGUGCAAGCGUUACUCGGAAUCACUGGGCGUAAAGCGCGCGCAGGCGGCUUGAUAAGUUGGAUGUGAAAGCCUACGGCUCAACCGUAGAACUGCAUCCAAAACUGUCAGGCUAGAGUGUGGGAGAGGAAGAUGGAAUUAGUUGUGUAGGGGUAAAAUCCGUAGAGAUAACUAGGAAUACCAAAAGCGAAGGCAAUCUUCUGGAACACUACUGACGCUGAGGCGCAAAGGCGUGGGGAGCAAACAGGAUUAGAAACCCCAGUAGUCC
This 274-nucleotide ribosomal RNA is filed under the name uncultured bacterium. RNAcentral's name for it is "partial 16S ribosomal RNA". It matches the Rfam family "Bacterial small subunit ribosomal RNA", at positions 523 to 796 of the family's 1533-position model. The record is from RNAcentral.